UUUAGUUGGUGGAGCGAUUUGUCUGGUUAAUUCCGAUAACGAACGAGACUCUAGCCUACUAAAUAGUUCGGGGAUCCUCUAUCGAGUCCCCGUCAACUUCUUAGAGGGACAAGUGGCGCUUAGCCACACGAGAUUGAGCAAUAACAGGUCUGUGAUGCCCUUAGAUGUUCGGGGCCGCACAUGCGCUACACUGAAUGGAUCAGCGUGCGUCUCGCCUGACCCGAGAGGGUUGGGAAACCCGUUGAACCCCAUUCGUGCUAGGGAUUGGGGCUUGCAAUUGUUCCCCAUGAACGAGGAAUUCCCAGUAAGCGCGAGUCAUCAGCUCGCGUUGAUUACGUCCCUGCCCUUUGUACACACCGCCCGUCGCUAAAUC
This 373-nucleotide ribosomal RNA is filed under the name Ruditapes decussatus. RNAcentral describes it as "SSU rRNA". It matches the Rfam family "Eukaryotic small subunit ribosomal RNA", at positions 1293 to 1685 of the family's 1831-position model. The record is from RNAcentral. Lineage: Eukaryota; Metazoa; Mollusca; Bivalvia; Venerida; Veneridae.